This 371-nucleotide ribosomal RNA is filed under the name uncultured bacterium. Its description in RNAcentral is "bacterial SSU rRNA". It matches the Rfam family "Bacterial small subunit ribosomal RNA", at positions 28 to 402 of the family's 1533-position model. The record is from RNAcentral.
GACGAACGCUGGCGGCGUGCUUAACACAUGCAAGUCGAGCGGUAAGGCCCUUUUGGGGGUACACGAGCGGCGAACGGGUGAGUAACACGUGGGUGACCUGCCCUCAGCUCUGGGAUAAGCCUGGGAAACUGGGUCUAAUACUGGAUAUGACCUUUCCUCGCAUGGGGUUGGGUGGAAAGUUUUUCGGCUGGGGAUGGGCCCGCGGCCUAUCAGCUUGUUGGUGGGGUGAUGGCCUACCAAGGCGACGACGGGUAGCCGGCCUGAGAGGGCGACCGGCCACACUGGGACUGAGGCACGGCCCAGACUCCUACGGGAGGCAGCAGUGGGGAAUAUUGCGCAAUGGGCGGAAGCCUGACGCAGCGACGCCGCGU